This 389-nucleotide ribosomal RNA is filed under the name uncultured bacterium. Its description in RNAcentral is "bacterial SSU rRNA". It matches the Rfam family "Bacterial small subunit ribosomal RNA", at positions 28 to 417 of the family's 1533-position model. The record is from RNAcentral.
GACGAACGCUGGCGGCGUGCUUAACACAUGCAAGUCGGGCGGUAAGGCCCUUUCGGGGGUACACGAGCGGCGAACGGGUGAGUAACACGUGGGUGACCUGCCCUCAGCUCUGGGAUAAGCCUGGGAAAACCGGGUCUAAUACCGGAUAUGACUCCAUGACGCAUGUUGUGGGGUGGAAAGCCUUGUGCGGCUGAGGAUGGGCCCGCGGCCUAUCAGCUUGUUGGUGGGGUGAUGGCCUACCAAGGCGACGACGGGUAGCCGGCCUGAGAGGGCGACCGGCCACACUGGGACUGAGACACGGCCCAGACUCCUACGGGAGGCAGCAGGUGGGGAAUCUUGCGCAAUGGGCGAAAGCCUGACGCAGCGACGCCGCGUGAGGAUGACGGCCU